GACUUUACAACAUGUAUUUUCUGAGUGUGAAAAGGUUAGAGAGUUUUAGGGAAUAUUGGACUUUGAUUACCCGCAGAUUAUGGGUCAAAACAUAGUAAGUUGGAUAAAAUAAGUGGAAGCCGGUCAAAGUAAGAGAAGGCAUAAACUUUUUAUUUGUCUAUGUAGAAUUUAGAAUGAACGGAAUGAACUUAUGUGAAAUUACUGAAUAUUUG
This 212-nucleotide long non-coding RNA is filed under the name Carica papaya (papaya). RNAcentral describes it as "long non-coding RNA (CPAP_LNC011763)". Lineage: Eukaryota; Viridiplantae; Streptophyta; Magnoliopsida; Brassicales; Caricaceae. The record is from RNAcentral.